CUACAUGAAGCUGGAGUUACUAGUAAUCGCAGAUCAGAAUGCUGCGGUGAAUGCGUUCCCGGGUCUUGUACACACCGCCCGUCACACCACGGGAGUUGGAGACGCCCGAAGCCGAUUAUCUAACCUUUUGGAAGAAGUCGUCGAAGGUGGAAUCAAUAACUGGGGUGAAGUCGUAACAAGGUAGCCGUAUCGGAAGGUGCGGCUGGAUCACCUCCUUUCUAAGGAGA
Molecule: ribosomal RNA, 227 nt
Filed under: Clostridioides difficile
Lineage: Bacteria; Bacillati; Bacillota; Clostridia; Peptostreptococcales; Peptostreptococcaceae
Description: partial 16S ribosomal RNA
Rfam family: Bacterial small subunit ribosomal RNA
Source: RNAcentral